CCUACGGGGGGCUGCAGUGGGGAAUAUUGGGCAAUGGACGCAAGUCUGAACCAGCCAUGCCGCGUGCAGGAAGACGGCUCUAUGAGUUGUAAACUGCUUUUGUACGAGGGUAAACGCAGAUACGCGUAUCUGUCUGAAAGUAUCGUACGAAUAAGGAUCGGCUAACUCCGUGCCAGCAGCCGCGGUAAUACGGAGGAUUCAAGCGUUAUCCGGAUUUAUUGGGUUUAAAGGGUGCGUAGGCGGUCGGAUAAGUUAGAGGUGAAAUCCCGGGGCUCAACUUCGGAAUUGCGUCUGAUACUGUUCGGCUAGAGAGUAGGUGCGGUAGGCGGAAUGUAUGGUGUAGCGGGGAAAUGCAUAGAUAUCGCGCAGAACUCCGAUUGCGAAGGCAGCAUGCCGGCUCCACACUGACGCUGAGGCACGAAGGCGUGGGUAUCGAACAGGAUUAGAUACCCUAGUAGUC
Molecule: ribosomal RNA, 460 nt
Filed under: uncultured bacterium
Lineage: Bacteria
Description: partial 16S ribosomal RNA
Rfam family: Bacterial small subunit ribosomal RNA
Source: RNAcentral